CCUACGGGGUGCUGCAGUGGGGAAUAUUGGACAAUGGGCGAAAGCCUGAUCCAGCCAUGCCGCGUGUGUGAAGAAGGCCUUCGGGUUGUAAAGCACUUUCAGUGGGGAAGAAAGCCUUGGGGCUAAUACCCUCGAGGAAGGACAUCACCCACAGAAGAAGCACCGGCUAACUCCGUGCCAGCAGCCGCGGUAAUACGGAGGGUGCGAGCGUUAAUCGGAAUUACUGGGCGUAAAGCGCGCGUAGGCGGUCUGAUAAGCCGGUUGUGAAAGCCCCGGGCUCAACCUGGGAACGGCAUCCGGAACUGUCAGGCUAGAGUGCAGGAGAGGAAGGUAGAAUUCCCGGUGUAGCGGUGAAAUGCGUAGAGAUCGGGAGGAAUACCAGUGGCGAAGGCGGCCUACUGGACUGACACUGACGCUGAGGUGCGAAAGCGUGGGUAGCAAACAGGAUUAGAUACCCGAGUAGUC
Molecule: ribosomal RNA, 465 nt
Filed under: Vreelandella stevensii
Lineage: Bacteria; Pseudomonadati; Pseudomonadota; Gammaproteobacteria; Oceanospirillales; Halomonadaceae
Description: partial 16S ribosomal RNA
Rfam family: Bacterial small subunit ribosomal RNA
Source: RNAcentral